CGGCGACAAGAAGCCUCAGAACCACUCCAGAACCAGCGUUCUCGGCGGCGAGUUUCGGUGGGUUUGGUAACAAUGAACACACUGAUCUCCGCUUAGCCUUUGCCCUGCUGAAAAACCAGCGUUCUCGGCGGCGAGUUUCGGUGGGUUUGGUAACAAUGAACACACUGAUCUCCGCUUAGCCUUUGCACUGCUGAACAAGCAACCUCAGGGGAGUUCUUCGCAUAUAGGGUUUCCUUCAGCAUUCGGUAACUCUAACUCUCAUCAGUCUGACAUGGAGAGUGUGUUUGGAACAAGCCAGAAAAAUGA
This 306-nucleotide long non-coding RNA is filed under the name Brassica napus (rape). RNAcentral describes it as "long non-coding RNA (BNAP_LNC024642)". The record is from RNAcentral. Lineage: Eukaryota; Viridiplantae; Streptophyta; Magnoliopsida; Brassicales; Brassicaceae.